CCUACGGGAGGCAGCAGUGAGGAAUAUUGGUCAAUGGACGCAAGUCUGAACCAGCCAUGCCGCGUGCAGGAAGACGGCUCUAUGUGUUGUAAACUGCUUUUGUACGAGGGUAAACGCAGAUACGCGUAUCUGUCUGAGAGUAUCGUACGAAUAAGGCUCGGCUAACUCCGUGCCAGCAGCCGCGGUAAUACGGAGGAUUCGAGCGUUAUCCGGAUUUAUUGGGGUUAAAGGGUGCGUAGGCGGUCGGGUAAGUUAGAGGUCAAAACCCGGGGCUCAACUUCGGACUUGCCUUUGAUCCGGUUCGGGUAGAGAGUAGGUGAGGUAGGCGGAAUGCACGGUGUAGCGGUGAAAGGCUUAGAGAUCAUACAGAACACCGAUGGCGAAGGCAGCUUACCGAG
Molecule: ribosomal RNA, 398 nt
Filed under: uncultured bacterium
Lineage: Bacteria
Description: partial 16S ribosomal RNA
Rfam family: Bacterial small subunit ribosomal RNA
Source: RNAcentral